Molecule: small nucleolar RNA, 89 nt
Filed under: Drosophila willistoni
Lineage: Eukaryota; Metazoa; Arthropoda; Insecta; Diptera; Drosophilidae
Description: snoRNA:GK26695
Source: RNAcentral
UUUUUCUGAUGAAUUCUUAAAGCCUAUCAGGGUCCCUCUUCUGAGUAGAACCCUUCAAAACCAUGCUGUCAACUUAUCCCUGUCUGAAA